Exaiptasia diaphana is the source of this 264-nucleotide long non-coding RNA. RefSeq lists it as uncharacterized. The transcript is spliced from 3 exons. Lineage: Eukaryota; Metazoa; Cnidaria; Anthozoa; Actiniaria; Aiptasiidae. The record is from RefSeq and is a predicted model, not a curated record.
GGCGUUAAUUUGUAGUGGAAUUGAACUAGAAUUCAGGAAAAUGUCUCAAAUCAUGGACAGCCUGGAUGACUGGCUAGAAUAUCGAUGUAAAGCAGGACAAAUCCUCUUUUUUUAUAAUAAAAUAACAGCAGAGCAUCGAUAUCCAGAGUGGAAUCCUACAUUAAAGAAAUGGGGCCUAGGACAAGCCGUUGAAUGUGACAUUGUCAACAACAGGAAGAACAUAAUGACACAGACUGAUGACACUGGCUGCACCUAUGGAUGUAC